RNAcentral lists this ribosomal RNA (370 nucleotides) under uncultured organism. RNAcentral's name for it is "bacterial SSU rRNA". It matches the Rfam family "Bacterial small subunit ribosomal RNA", at positions 528 to 896 of the family's 1533-position model. The record is from RNAcentral.
GAGGGUGCAAGCGUUGUUCGGAAUUAUUGGGCGUAAAGGGCGCGUAGGCGGUUCGGCAAGUCUCUAGUGAAAUCUCUGGGCUCAACUCAGAGUCUGCUGGGGAAACUGCCGGGCUUGAGUGUGGGAGAGGAGAGUGGAAUUCCCGGUGUAGCAGUGAAAUGCGUAGAUAUCGGGAGGAACACCUGUGGCGAAAGCGGCUCUCUGGACCACAACUGACGCUGAGGCGCGAAAGCUAGGGGAGCAAACAGGAUUAGAUACCCUGGUAGUCCUAGCCCUAAACGAUGAUUGCUUGGUGUGGUGGGUACCCAAUCCCACUGUGCCGAAGCUAACGCGAUAAGCAAUCCGCCUGGGGAGUACGGUCGCAAGGCUG